UGGUUAUCAUUUGACUGCUUGUUGGAUC
RNAcentral lists this non-coding RNA (28 nucleotides) under Mus musculus (house mouse). Lineage: Eukaryota; Metazoa; Chordata; Mammalia; Rodentia; Muridae. The record is from RNAcentral.